This 311-nucleotide signal recognition particle RNA is filed under the name Methanoregulaceae archaeon. Its description in RNAcentral is "signal recognition particle sRNA". It matches the Rfam family "Archaeal signal recognition particle RNA". The record is from RNAcentral. Lineage: Archaea; Methanobacteriati; Methanobacteriota; Methanomicrobia; Methanomicrobiales; Methanoregulaceae.
AUGGGGACUAGCCCGGGUGGUUCGGCGUCACCUGUCACCUGAAACCGUCGGUAUGCGGGGGGCGAAGUUUGAGGAAGGCCGAGGCGGCCUGCUGGAGCCGCCGUUUUCUUUCGUUGAAACCUCGUCCCAUGAGGUCGGUGGACAGGGAUCAAAGUCCCGGAGGGGGCGGCGACCUGCAGCCGCGGGUAACGGUUCAGGCCCGGAAGGGAGCAGACUUACCGUGGACAUCCGGCGCCCAUGGGGGCGCGGGGCGGAGGAGGAGGUCGGUGGUGAACGCAGGUGCGUGCGGUCGACCGAUAACACGUCCCCAU